Long non-coding RNA from Odontomachus brunneus, 616 nucleotides. RefSeq lists it as uncharacterized. The transcript has 3 exons. Lineage: Eukaryota; Metazoa; Arthropoda; Insecta; Hymenoptera; Formicidae. The record is from RefSeq and is a predicted model, not a curated record.
AGACUAGUAGCUAGAUAGUAAUGACUAGAUAAGUUUUCUAGCCAGUCACUAGCUUGUGACUGGCAAAAUACUUCUAAUCAAACUUUAAUUAUCUAGCUGCUGUCUAGUCACUAAAUAGAAAAUGAGUAGUAGGUGGCGCUGUCUUUUUUAAAAUAUACAGUCUAGCUACUAUCUCGCCACUAGCAGGAUUACAUUACUCUGCACGUCGAAAAGAAGGUUAUGUUACAAUAUUAAAUUCUGUCUAGUCACUAUCUAGUACCAAUAUGCUGUAAAUCCUACAUAGAAAUGAAAUGUCAGACGACAUGAAAAACUAUCAGUAUAUCUCGAAUCUGAUCGGGAUUGUCUAUUCAUUAUUUUGAGAAAAUGGAUAGAAAAGAAAAAAUACGCGAACGUGUACAAAAACAUCGACGGAUUAAGUCUGCAUUGAGAAACAUUGCUUUCUCUUCUUAUUUUUCACAGCGAUAUUGCAAAUACAAAAUUGCAAAAGAAAGAAAAAAUAAAUAUAUUAAAUGACUCAUAUAGUGAUUGUGAAUCUACAUUACAAAAUUAUGUUAUUACGGAUUCAAUUUCAACUGAUGAAACAGAUAUUGAUGACUAUAAUGAUAAUAAUGAUGAU